RNAcentral lists this long non-coding RNA (1545 nucleotides) under Equus asinus (donkey). RNAcentral's name for it is "lncRNA (ENSEASG00005031570.1)". The record is from RNAcentral. Lineage: Eukaryota; Metazoa; Chordata; Mammalia; Perissodactyla; Equidae.
CCCAGCUAAACCGAGAACCCAGACCAGCUCUGCAGAUGCAAAGGGGCCCAGAGCCUCACUUCCGUCACCCUCGUCGGAAGGGUGUCCUCCCCCAGACGCCUCAGCUCUAAGAGCUGAGCCAGAGCAGGGCCCCCGGCGCCUCCCAAAGCCAGCCCUGCCCUCCACGGAGCCGCCUGCUAUGCCCAGCUCAGGGGCGAGUGGACAGGCCUGGCUGCAGUGCGCUCCGAGUGACAGAAGCUGCCAGCCGUUCACGGGGAUUGCUGGGAUGCUGAGCAUUGCUGGGGUUCACACGAUGGCGGAUUCCAGCAUUAUCGUCUCUGAACUCUCAUGUGGAUGGAAAUACUUGCAGCCCUGCUCCUGCCAUCAGAGUCGAAGAGGAGCAGAAGAUGAAGUUGGAGAUAUGGUCCUUCUAUAUGACUCCUUAAAGACCUUGACAGCAAGCAAGUCCAGGAAAGAGGACACCCAGGGUGCACCAGGCACCAUGCCAGGCACUGUACGCAGGAGGCCCAAGAACCUCAGGAGACUCUCAUCAGCCUGUCCAUCGCUGCUGUCGGGCCACAGAGGUUUCCUUGAUGCUCCAGUUGCUUAAUUCACCCGGUGAGCCAGCCAUUCCUGAUGUCCAAUAGAAGUGAGCUACACUCGUCAUUCUCUCUCAGAUGAGGGCACGAUAGCAAAAUUUACACCUAAUCCUCUCUCGUUACCUGUGGAUGGCCAGUGCCCGGAGAUUCCUGGCUUUGAGACUUCGUUAUGUAUUAGUCACUGUUAGAAAGCAGUUUUUCUGACACUUUCAGUAAUAAAUCCCUUUGAUAUGAUCUAUGGUAGCUCUGCCUCAUAGCAAGUUCCAGGCCAAAGCAAGUAAUGGAAUAGCAAACUGCUUUGGAGGCAGGCAGACCUGGUUUGAAUCCUGGUUCUGUCACUAUGGUUUUACCUCACUUAAUCUUUCUGACACUCAGUUUCUUCAUCUGUAAAAUGGGGAAAAGCAUAUGAGGGCAGAACCUGGUUGCCCAUCCAACAGCCAUUUCCCUCUUCAUCCUUGCUAACAACAGUGACGACAACGAAAAAUCCUGAUUUUGUUCCAGUCCCGAAGUGCGAAAUCCCAGCAGAUGCGCUGCGUUGAUCUAAAUCCUGCAUUCCUGUUGUCAGUGACUGGUUUACAGGGUCUACAGGAAAGCGUGUGACCUAAUUCUGGCCAAGGAUGCUGAAGAGGAAACCUGCCAGAAGCUUCUGAGAAAGAUUUUCCUCUCUGAUAAGAGAGACCCUUGAAGAGAAGGCCCAUCUGCCUUCAUCCACUGGCUCCCUGACCCACGCUGUUUGGUGCUGUGGCAGCCGUCUCUUGAACAUGAGGGGAACCAUCAGUGACACACUAAAGAUGGCAGAGCAGAAGGACCGAAAGAGCCUAGGGCCUUGGGGACAACACUGAUCUAUUGAACCAACCUUGGUCCACCUAUCUCCAGAUUUCUUGUUAACAAUGUCUUUAUGGUUUAACCUAUUGUGUAUUGAGUUUUGUGUUGCUUGCAGUCAAAAACAAUCCUAACUGACACAAAU